RNAcentral lists this long non-coding RNA (422 nucleotides) under Physcomitrium patens. Its description in RNAcentral is "long non-coding RNA (PPAT_LNC014299)". Lineage: Eukaryota; Viridiplantae; Streptophyta; Bryopsida; Funariales; Funariaceae. The record is from RNAcentral.
GGAAAUGUGAUUCAUAUUAUUUGAGAAGAAGAAAGAUUGAAUGCUGAAAUCUGAUUGUAGUUCAGCAGAGAAAAUGAGUCUGUGUUUGUAUGAAAUACUGUAAUGUGAAUGGCAGUUCUGUGUGAAGAAUUCCAGUGAUUGGAAUGAGUGCAAUUCUGUGCUGAAAGCUGUGAGGGCACGGUAUUAUAGUUGGAGAUUAUGAGGGUGAAUAUAUUGGUGGAAAUAGCAGUUAUUGAUAUGAUUGAAUUGCUGUAAGGAAGAGACUGAUAAGAUGAAGGAGGAGAUUAUAGUUUCCUUGUGUGUUCAGAUAUUGGAAAUAGAGACGAUACAUUGAAGAGGUAAUUGAUUGUGUGAUCCUAACGUGAAUGCUUAAGCAACUAGUCAUUCCCCGUGUUCGAAUCUCCUUAUACGGAUUUAUUUCU